Molecule: long non-coding RNA, 594 nt
Organism: Plodia interpunctella (Indianmeal moth)
Lineage: Eukaryota; Metazoa; Arthropoda; Insecta; Lepidoptera; Pyralidae
Exons: 2
Source: RefSeq, a predicted model, not a curated record
CGUUGGUAUCGCAGAGGGCGCCACUGCGGCCGGCCAUCACCGCGAAGGACAGGAGCUGGCGACCGACUUGCCGGACAGACACGAGAACCCGGACGUGCCUGACUGCAGGCUCGACAUUGAACCCCUGGAGAUAAUUCAGUUUGUAUGUACUUACUUGUACUGCUGGCUGUCGAGCGUCUCAUGGAAAUACACCAGCUGCGCGGCGCGGGGCGUGGAGUCCAGCAGCUCACAGCGCCACUGCAGCACGUAGCUGCCACUUUCUGUCAUCACGUGGGAGCCCUGCACGGACAUACAUGGCUCCUUAGGGUGAGUUGCAUCAGUCCAUUUUGAAGUUUACUUUGACAAAAGGGUUAAUAGUUUGCCGAUUUCCUGCCCAUGUUAAAGCUAAUUUCAAAACCUGUGCAACUGAACCUUAAGCAGCGACCAUUUUUUCACAGUCAUUGAGUUAGUUAAGUUUUUAUAUAAUUAGAUUUUAUUUUAUAUAAUAGAGAUUUUAUAUUUCAAUGUGCGGUGUAUAUUUUAUGGUUUCCUGAAUCGCACGAGUCGUUUUCAGUAAUCAUUGUGAAAUCAUUUUAAUUAAAUUCGUUCCUCGUC